GCGGUGGUAGUUCAACGGUAGAAUGUUUCCUUGCCAAGGAAAAGGUUGCCGGUUCAAAUCCGGUCCACCGCUCCC
Molecule: transfer RNA, 75 nt
Filed under: Candidatus Roizmanbacteria bacterium CG_4_10_14_3_um_filter_39_13
Lineage: Bacteria; Candidatus Roizmaniibacteriota
Also listed under: 1 other name
Description: tRNA-Gly
Rfam family: tRNA
About the family: Transfer RNA (tRNA) molecules are approximately 80 nucleotides in length. Their secondary structure includes four short double-helical elements and three loops (D, anti-codon, and T loops).
Source: RNAcentral